CUUUGUGCUAUGGCAGUGCUAAGGUUUCCUUUAGAAAUAUUGUCUUUAUGCUCCUUAAUCCUGUCUACAUUUGUCUAGAUUUUUUUUUGGUAGAUCAUUGCACCUAGAUGUUCUAGUUCAUGCUCUUUAUUUGUGAAGGAGAAAAUCUUCCCCAAAAAUCUCUAUUAUCCUCCUCUUGGCAAGCUGUUUUUCACUGGUCUUUAUUAACCCACAACAAUUUUUCCUUCCUGAUAUCCUUUCUAAUGUGCUUCUCUCAUUUGUACUUUGAUCAUCAUCAUCAUUAUUUCUUAUUUCAUCUACUGCUGGAUAUAUGCCUCUUCCUUUUGUUUCCAGAUGU
This 337-nucleotide long non-coding RNA is filed under the name Androctonus crassicauda. The record is from RNAcentral. Lineage: Eukaryota; Metazoa; Arthropoda; Arachnida; Scorpiones; Buthidae.